CACUAUAGCUCAGUCGGUAGAGCAUGAGACUCGUAAUUUCAGGGUUCUGGGUUCGAGCCCCACAUUGGGUGA
RNAcentral lists this transfer RNA (72 nucleotides) under Podarcis lilfordi (Lilford's wall lizard). RNAcentral's name for it is "tRNA.Thr". The stretch from base 6 to 63 matches the Rfam family "tRNA", at positions 8 to 63 of the family's 71-position model. Rfam says of the family: Transfer RNA (tRNA) molecules are approximately 80 nucleotides in length. Their secondary structure includes four short double-helical elements and three loops (D, anti-codon, and T loops). Further hydrogen bonds mediate the characteristic L-shaped molecular structure. tRNAs have two regions of fundamental functional importance: the anti-codon, which is responsible for specific mRNA codon recognition, and the 3' end, to which the tRNAs corresponding amino acid is attached (by aminoacyl-tRNA synthetases). tRNAs cope with the degeneracy of the genetic code in two manners: having more than one tRNA (with a specific anti-codon) for a particular amino acid; and 'wobble' base-pairing, i.e. permitting non-standard base-pairing at the 3rd anti-codon position. Lineage: Eukaryota; Metazoa; Chordata; Lepidosauria; Squamata; Lacertidae. The record is from RNAcentral.